UUGCACUGCGUAUCAAAGGCUACCCCAAAAAAUUUAUUCUUGAAAUAUAGAAUAAAUAAAUAAUGGAGUAGCCUCUGAUCGACUGUGCAGAAAUGGAAUGCCGAUCUUUUUGAUCGGCGGCGGCCAGACAACCGUUGAGAUGAAUCCACAGAGGAGUUCCUUUUUUCGCCGGAGCUUCUCUACUAAAUUCAUCUCAUAUUC
Molecule: small nucleolar RNA, 201 nt
Filed under: Erythranthe guttata (spotted monkey flower)
Lineage: Eukaryota; Viridiplantae; Streptophyta; Magnoliopsida; Lamiales; Phrymaceae
Description: Mimulus guttatus (spotted monkey flower) small nucleolar RNA snoR143
Rfam family: small nucleolar RNA snoR143
Source: Rfam by way of RNAcentral